Molecule: long non-coding RNA, 532 nt
Organism: Ipomoea triloba (trilobed morning glory)
Lineage: Eukaryota; Viridiplantae; Streptophyta; Magnoliopsida; Solanales; Convolvulaceae
Exons: 2
Source: RefSeq, a predicted model, not a curated record
AACCCAACCUGCUGCCUGCCCGUAAACGUAAAUCACUAAAUCCCUAGAAUUCUAAAUCUCAUCACGCCGACGAGGACCGCGAUUCAGCGAGAGAAGACGAGGACUGCCGUCCGCCGACCAGACUUUCCCAAUCUCCGCCGUCCGUGCAGUCCAGUGGCUGCCGCCAUCUCGCCGGCCGCCGGUCGCCCGCCAGCACGCCAGCCGUUGCCGUCGGCCCGUCGCGUCUCCAACCAGUGCCGCCAGCGCUCGCCUCUGUUCUGCGUCCAUCUUCUUCUCCGGCCUCCGCAGGUGAUGAUGGUGAUGUUGAAGAUCUUCAUGUUCGUGUUCCAACUGAAUCUUCUGAAGCGUAGUGUGUUUUACAAUUUGAUAUGUGAUUAUGAACUUUAAAUAUUAAUUCUGAAGUUUAGUAUGUUUGUGUUUUGGACUGAUAUUAGUGAUAUUUGUAAUGAAUUAAUCAUCAAUGGAUUGAUGUCAUUAUAGUCAUUACUAGUUAAUUAGUUAUGAUUUAUGAACUUUGAUUAUUAUUUUUGAA